Molecule: small nuclear RNA, 107 nt
Filed under: Notamacropus eugenii (tammar wallaby)
Lineage: Eukaryota; Metazoa; Chordata; Mammalia; Diprotodontia; Macropodidae
Source: RNAcentral
GUGCUCAUUUAUGCAGCACUUCUACUACUGUUGAAACAAUACUGAGAAGAUUAGCCUGGCCUCUGCAUAAAAUUGAUAUGCAAAUUAAUAAAGUGUUUCAAUUUUGG